RNAcentral lists this unclassified non-coding RNA (355 nucleotides) under soil metagenome. RNAcentral describes it as "partial contains 5.8S ribosomal RNA, internal transcribed spacer 2, and large subunit ribosomal RNA". The stretch from base 1 to 120 matches the Rfam family "5.8S ribosomal RNA", at positions 35 to 154 of the family's 154-position model. The record is from RNAcentral.
GAUGAAGAACGUAGUGAAAUGCGAUAAGUAAUGUGAAUUGCAGAAUUCAGUGAAUCAUCGAAUCUUUGAACGCACAUUGCGCCCGCCAGUAUUCUGGCGGGCAUGCCUGUCCGAGCGUCAUUUCAACCCUCGAACCCCUCCGGGGGGUCGGCGUUGGGGAUCGGCCCUGCCUCUUGGCGGUGGCCGUCUCCGAAAUACAGUGGCGGUCUCGCCGCAGCCUCUCCUGCGCAGUAGUUUGCACACUCGCAUCGGGAGCGCGGCGCGUCCACAGCCGUUAAACACCCAACUUCUGAAAUGUUGACCUCGGAUCAGGUAGGAAUACCCGCUGAACUAAAGCAUAUCAAUAAGCGGAGGA